UGUAAAAGCAAGUAUGCUGCACUUCACUUGACAAGUGUGGCCUUGUCGGUUGUUGGGCAUGACAUUGUUUAAAUGCAUAGACAAUGAGGACAAGAAAGUAGAUGCGCACGCACGCUGCAUGGCACCUUAAGAUUUCAAUCCUUAAGCAAUCCGUUUCAGCUGCGAUGUUUGGAGUGUGGCACCUUGCAACUUUAGAAAUCUUACACAUUCUCAUACCAAGUGGACCAGCUGAAAAUGAUCAGAACUGGCGCUCUUUCCAUGACGUGGUCAGGAAUAAACGGAAAGAAAAGCUAUGCCGUUAUCUGAGUGACUAAGUUGUAUGGUCUGUUUAACAUGUAGCUCGUGAUUUUUGUUUUACUGAUACAUUUUAUUGCUUACUUGUGCUCACAUUGCAAAUCUAUUUCUCACAUGGACCCCAUCUCAUUGCUGAUUUGACUGUGUGGCACAGCGACAAAUGACUUAUUCGCUCUCAUGAAGCUUGUUGACUACGAAUUUCCAGCGGCAAAUGUGAUCAUCACUCACAGCGUCGUGAUCGUGUCACAGUGAUCGUCAAUCAAGUUUGGAUUCCGGCUACAGUCUAUUUUCUACAUGCUUUUUUAUUUUCGGCAUGCUGCAUGAGACUCCUGUGACCACAGAUCCAGAGUACACUAUCAAAAUGCAAGCCAAAGUUCUAAAGUAUCACAUUUAGAGCUCAUUCGCAUUGGCAACUCACAGAGGUCGUGCAACCAGGUUGGUCGCAAAGCAAUUGGUUUUAUAUAUGGCUGCAGUUGGUUGCAUUGGUCAGAAAGCAGCUGCUUUGGGUUAGGCGCUCGUUCCUUGAUCACCAGUGUGAAUGAGCCCUCAGUCAUGGCUGUAGUAAACUUUAGCGGCCAAACGGCAGUUGUAAAAAGCCUGAAAAAAUGCUAACAAUGGAAACUGCGUUUGUGGUAACAAUGUAAGGAACACAAUUUUGUCAGAUCAAGUGCGAACAAUUAAAUUCACUAUCGUUUGAUGUCCAAAAUAUUUUUCGCCAUUUUACAUUUGCUCUAUGGGGCCCAUGGCAGAGCUGGGAAUAAAUCUGAAUAGUUGACCUGGUGCAAGAAGUAGGUUGUCCAUUGUGUCGCCUAGAAUGCUCAGGGUGGAUGCAAAGCAGGCAGCUAGUGAAUAUCCCCUCGUCUCUACAAGUGACAUGGAAAACUGGGUAACAUGCAAUGACCAUGGAAGUCAUUUCGCAUGUAUUCUGCAGUGCCUUAACACUGGCUUUCCCAACUAAUGCUGCAGGCCAAGAAAAAAAAUAAUUGAUGGCUUUAACUAGAGGCAAGUAAGAAAUAAUUCACACGUCAAUUAUUUGAAAUUUUGGAUAAUUCAAAUUAUGUGGUACAGUCUGGCCAAGCUCCAUAGAACUCCAUGUAUUUAAACCUUGUUAAUUGGCAUGCAAAUAGGGUCUACCACAAAUAAUCCUAAUUGCAAACCGCCGUGGCUGGCUUUUGGCUUGCACUGGUGAUCACUCUCCCAGCUAAGCGACAGGUGGCGUGAUGUGCUCACAUCAUGUGAUGUGAUGUGCCCCAGUAACAGCUUCCUUGGAUCUCAAAGGCUAUGCUUUUGUGGACUGCAUGUACCGAAAGAGAAUAAGGUUACCGGAAUUGCGUCAUGGCCACAACGUUCUUGCAUUUAUUUUUUACAAAAGGUUAGUUGCAUCGACAUCGACAGUGGGGCUCUAACUUUUUUUACUCUAUUUGUUAAAAAUGAGGGUGAAGCCAUGAGGCACUUAUAGAAGAAAUAACUUUAGUACUGAAAAAAGUCGCAGUUUCGCUCGAAAGGCGAAGCACCGAUUGCUAUAGCAAAUUAGUAGGUUGCUAUGUGAAGUAAGGAUAGUAAUUUUAUUGGCUGUAUAAACCUGUAAACAUUUGCUUACUAACUAAAUUAACAAGCACAGUGCCACGCACGCACAGGUAAACAUGAACACUUCUCGCUGGAUGACUGCAGAAACUUGCUUUGAAAAUGCUUGAGUAAGGAAUCGUGUCAACAGCAGCGAGCAAAUUGACUUUUGUGCAUCUCUCACUUCAACGCGAACGAAACGUUAAAAGCACAGCUCAUUCGAAGCUGCCGGCACUACAUGUACUCUGCAAGCAUCGCAGAUCGCUUUGAAGAUGAGGCAUGGGCAUGCACAGGCGCGCACUUUGGCCACAUUGUAGAUCGCUUUCAAGAUGCGGUGCUCACACGGCUGUGCCGUAAGCAGCAGCCUCCAGAAAAGAACCCCUCCCUCGCCUCACCCCUGCACCUAGCACGCGCCAGGAGAGGGCACGCUGCUGGCCCACCUUCCUCACUUGCACACGUGAGAUUGAGCCAUGUUGCCUGGCUCACCCUCGCCUGUUUUCACUUGCACAUCCAACAUAAGGCGCGACAGUGGUGAUUUUAUCGCCCUUGGACGUUAUACGGAACUCCACGGUGACGGCAGAAAUGCCGCUGGGCUGUCCAUAUAAUUGCUACUGCAAUAAAAUAAACCAGCCAAAACUGGAAAGCGAUGGCGGGCUAAAGGAUAAUGGACACAAGAUGUAUCAGCAAUGGACCUUCUUCAGGUGAACCUACUGCGCAUGUGCAGCUUGUUGCAGCGUCGUGCAUCAUGGGAUGGCAUACGAUCACAUUUGUUUUGGGGGUAGCAUGGUCACGCUUUUCCCUCAGCGAGAAUGUACGAGCUUGUGUUUCCACCAGUUUUCGCUGUGAUUUUUGCGAACGGAAGCAGGAAAUCGCAGGCAACGCUGAACCAGUUUGUUGCCGUCGGCUGUGCGAAUGUCAAGAGCAAAGACGGAGGUGUCAGACUAUUUAGAUUUCCUGCAGCGUGCUUACAUGCAGCCAAGCGAGCGAAAUGGAUUCAGGCAAUGAGCCUCGUCAGUGUCAACGGCUCCCUGUGGCAACCGUCCGCCAACUCUCGAGUAUGCAGCAGACAUUUAUUACAAGGAGAGACAUCACGUUUUCUCCACCCUGACUGCAUGCCGUCCGUCUUCAAUCACAAGAGAAGUCUAGGGGGCCUUAUCACACCUCAACAGAUUGGAAAAAAGGCGUGUCCGGCUCUUUCUCUGCGGCGCUGCGCCCCCAGCCGUUUAGGCCUCAUGCCGUAGGCCCUACGUCCGGCCGCCCCAUCGAAGCUACAACAAACUGGCGACGAGGCUACCGGAUGCGAGGCACUACAAGACGACAGGAAGAAAGCCAGUUUACUCAGUAACUUGUGCUUCGAAAGGUAGCGUCUCUACUAUGACUUCGCGUCGCAAACGGACCCGAGAGCUACUACGUUCGAAAACGCUCUUCGCACCUUCGACCGACAUUAUGAAGAAAGCGCCAAUCCCACGGUGCACCGCAUUAUCUUCCGGGACAGGAAGCAACUACCUGGAGAAACCUUUCAGGACUUCGUCACCGCGCUACAAAGGCUGGCGCCUGCUUGUGUGUUCGGCACUUGGCAUGACGAGUCCCUUCGCGACGAAAUCCUGCAAGGCGUCACAUCCGCAAGAAUACAAGGCUACUCUACGAAGGAUCGUCCCUCACGCUCAAGAAAGCUGAGAAAAUCGGACGAAGCAUGGAGCAAGUUAACAAGGAACUUCAAGUCUUCAACAGCUCGUCUGUUCAGCGCAUCUCAACGCGACGCCAAGAUGGCGUCGCCAGCCAUCACUUUCCUCACCCGGGCACGCAAGAUGGUGGCUCCCGCUAUACUUCUUUCUCGACCCGGCGCCUUCAAGAUGGCGCUCAACGGCAUGGCGGAAAGUCGCAUCCUCGAGAGGCCGGCCAGCCUGACGCCCGGCCCGAACUCCGCGAAGCCUGUCGAGACAUCGCAGUCCAUUGGUACCGAUGUGGCUCACCUCACCACAUCGCAUCCGAUCCAGCCUGUCCGGCAAAGCAUCUCGCCUGCCAUGCGUGCGGAAAAGUGGGACAUUACGCUUCGGUUUGCCGUUCGAGGAACCGAACGCAGCGACAGUCUCCUGCUCGAACGCAGCUUGUUUCCGUUACCGCUGAUACAGACUCAGCCACUACAGUCCCGUUUGUGCUUACAAUUCAAGCACCGAAUUUCCGUCCGGCAACAAUUGACGCCGAAGUCCUCAUAGCGAAAACUACACUCAUAUUACUCGUGGACACAGGAGCUACGGUGUCGCUGAUGAACAGCUUCCUAUACGAAGAACAUUUCAAGGUUUUUUCCAUUAUCUCCUUCGAGUCUUCGACUCAAGAAUUAUUCACAGCAAGAAAUUCUGCAUUCAGGACGUUUCUCCGAGCUCGUCAAGUACCGCAACAAGGCUGCAGUAGUGACAUUUCACAUCGCGAACCAAGUCACUUCUCUUCUGGGCUUAGACGUCAUUCAAGCUUUGGGCAUUGACAUUCAAGGGUCUUCGCUUACAUGUCAACAAGUAUCAGGACUUCCAGCUGACCCAAGCGUCCAGCUUCCAUCUCUUCCACACAACGCUCCAGCAGAGGUCGCCCAUUUGUUCUCAGGACAAUUGGGACUUGUAAAGGGCUUCGUUUAUGACGUUCAUCUCCGAGUUCAGUGCAACCAAUCUCAGCGAAACUGCGUCCUCUACCUCUGGUUCUCCGGGAGCGAGUCUCCGCCGAGCUACAACACCUGGAAUCAGCUGAUGUCAUAGAACGAGUCACUGCUUCCAAGUGGAUUUCUCCGCGCGUCAUCAUUCUGAAGAUGGACAAUUCCAUUCGACUUUGCAUCGAUCUUCGAGACCGCAACAAGGCUAUCAUCAUCGACGCCUUUCCGCUACCGAGGGCUGACGAACUGUUACAUCGACUUGCUGAUGCUACCGUCUUUAGUAAGUUGGACUUACGGUGCGCUUCUCAUCAGAUUUUAUUGUCCGAGAAAAGCCAUGAGCUUACUACUUUUGUCACUCAUGACGGUCUUUUUCGCUUCAAGCGUGUGUUUUCGGUUGGGCAUCUGUUCCAUCCGCUUUCCAACAGAUCAUGUCAUCUGUUUUAAAAGACUGUCCAGCCACCUUGUGCUACCUUGAUGAUCUUCUUGUAUGGGGUCACACUCAACGUGACCAGACAGAAAUUUGCAAACCGUCCUGUCUAGAAUAAGUAAUGCAGGCAUGCAGCUUAACCAGAAGUGCGUAUUCAGUGUCCCAGAAUUAACUUUCUUAGGACAUAAAAUUUCUGCAAAUAGCAUUUCGCCGAUGGAUAGCAAAGCUCAGGCAAUCGUGGAGGCACCACAGCCUAAGGACAAACACGCUCUACAUUCAUUUCUGGGCCUCAUGGGAUAUUAUGCUAAAUUUAUCCCUCGGUAUGCCGAUGUAGUGGAGCCGCUAAGGAAACUCCUAAGGCAAGGACAAGCCUUUGUCUGGGAUUGGGAUACUGAAUACAGCUUUCAGGCGAUUAAAGAUGCGCUUGCACCACACCCAGUGGUACGCAUGUUUCAACCGCAUCUUCGUAUUGUUGUCACAGUUGAUGCUUCUGACAUUGGCAUAGGAGCCGUCCUGCAGCAAAAAUGCGGAAAUGAGCUCUUUACAGUAGCCUUUGCUUCUCGUACGAUAUCUUCCGCAGAACAAUGGUACUCUGUAGGCGAAUGACAAGCAUUGACAUGUCUGUUUGCGUAUGAACACUGGCGUGCUUGCUUGUGGGGUCGACAGUUCACUCUACGAAUUGAUCACCAAGCUCUAGUCGCAUUGCUGUCUUCAAAGGGACCUGGACAGCGACCAUUAAGUAUUUCAACGUGGAGUGCAAGAUUGCUAUAUUACAAUUUCAUCAUUGAGUACUGUAAAGGUGACCAAAAUGCCAUUGCGCACGCAUUGUCACGCAUAUCUGUCCCUCCCGAAUGUAAACCAGUACUAGAUGAUGAAGUAGUGUCUUUGGUUUCAUCUUGUAUCACAAAGGAAUAAUUCCAAGCAGCUACACAAGGAGAUCCAGUGUACCAAGCAUUAAAAGAAAAAAAAAUAGUAAAAGGAUGGAGAACUGCGGUGGACCUUCCGCCAGAGUUGCAGGCAUAUACUGCUGUACAGUCCGAAUAUUCAUACGUGGAUAAUCUGCUUCUCCGAGGUGAAUGUAUCGUUUCUCCUGCUUCCUUGUAUCAGACACUCCUGUCAAUUGCUCAUGAAGGUCACUUAGGCAUCACGAAAACCAAGCUCAUUGAGAGGCAUCUACUGGUGGCCUCACAUGGAUAGGAAAGUUGAGCAACUUGUGGGAAACUGCUUUGUGUGCCAAGAAGCAGGUAAAUCGGCCAAACCAUCUUUUGCUCCAUUAUAAAAAGUCGAAUGGCGGUUAAGACCAUGGGGAAAGUUAGCCAUGUGUGAUCUGUGAGUGCAAGUGUGUAUUUCGUCGCCUUCCCAAGACGGGUGCUGAAACUCUUCAGAACUGUAGUGCAAUCAUGUUUAUUUUCAGUCUCCACGUUGUCUGUUUUUCUUAACGCUUUGAGGGUUGAUUUUUUUCGCAAUAUGCGACCACCUAGGGUCGCU
Molecule: long non-coding RNA, 6413 nt
Organism: Dermacentor albipictus
Lineage: Eukaryota; Metazoa; Arthropoda; Arachnida; Ixodida; Ixodidae
Source: RefSeq, a predicted model, not a curated record